UCUCUCUCUCUCUCUCUCUCUCUCUCUCUCUCUCUCUCUCUGCUCUCACUUUCUUGUUCCAUUUCAGAGGAGGAAACACCUGGCCUGGAGCAGCCACCAGCGUCCCCAGGGUCUGAUCUGGAGAGGGACCCUCCUGUCCAGUCGCAGCUGGGCCCCAAGCGGAGCCGUGUGAUCCACAGUGACGACGACGAGGACCCCAAAAGCCGAGCUGAAGCGCCAGCCCAGCCGGACCCCAGCUCAGACGGGGAGGGGACACGGCCCCCCCGCCAGAGGAAGCGCCUGCGGAUCGAGGAGGAGGAGGAGGAUUAAAGGGGCCUGGCCAGACCCCCCCGCACGUCGCCUUGGCCUGACCCCCCCCCCCCAAGGCUCCUCCAGACUGCUCUCGGUGUGACCGGCCGCUUCAAACCCUCCCCUCCACCCGCUGCCUGUCGGCCACGCACAGCCGGGGGGGAGGGGGGCAGUGCUGGGGCCAGGCCGUCGGGGGCACAGAUGUGGGGGGGGGCACUGAGGAGCCAGCCCCUGCCCCUUCCUGGUUCCUUUUGCUUGUAAUUCCCCCACAGAGGGGUCACUCCCCCCCCCCACCCCAGGGGGGUGACGUGGUUUGAAUUGGGUUCUGGGUUCCAAGGUUUGUUUGUUGCCCACAAUAUGGUUCCCCCCUCCACCCCCCAAGCUGCUGGUGUCAUCAGGGUUAAAGGUUGUGGUCCCCAAAGGAAGCAAAGGGCCGUGUGCUCCCUGGCGGGCUGGGGGCUGCGCCCCCAUGUGUGGAGGGGACGUCCUUGGCCCUUCCCCUGGGGCGGCUGAGCCAAAAGGGGGCCUAGGCUGUCCCACCCCCGGCCCUGGGCUAGAGCUGCCCUCCCCCCGC
Non-coding RNA from Chrysemys picta bellii (western painted turtle), 862 nucleotides. NCBI's taxonomy places the organism in Eukaryota, Metazoa, Chordata, Testudines, Emydidae. The record is from RefSeq and is a predicted model, not a curated record.